UACGUAGGGUGCGAGCGUUGUCCGGAAUUAUUGGGCGUAAAGAGCUCGUAGGCGGUGUGUCGCGUCGGCCGUGAAAACCUGCAGCUUAACUGUGGGCUUGCGGUCGAUACGGGCAUCACUGGAGUUCGGCAGGGGAGACUGGAAUUCCUGGUGUAGCGGUGAAAUGCGCAGAUAUCAGGAGGAACACCGGUGGCGAAGGCGGGUCUCUGGGCCGAUACUGACGCUGAGGCGCGAAAGCCAGGGGAGCAAACGGG
This 254-nucleotide ribosomal RNA is filed under the name uncultured bacterium. RNAcentral's name for it is "partial 16S ribosomal RNA". It matches the Rfam family "Bacterial small subunit ribosomal RNA", at positions 524 to 776 of the family's 1533-position model. The record is from RNAcentral.